GGGAUGGUAAAGGCAAAUCUGGGCCUAUCCCUUGGA
RNAcentral lists this non-coding RNA (36 nucleotides) under Mus musculus (house mouse). The record is from RNAcentral. Lineage: Eukaryota; Metazoa; Chordata; Mammalia; Rodentia; Muridae.